Molecule: small nucleolar RNA, 137 nt
Filed under: Ornithorhynchus anatinus (platypus)
Lineage: Eukaryota; Metazoa; Chordata; Mammalia; Monotremata; Ornithorhynchidae
Source: RNAcentral
CCCCUCUCAGGAUCACACCUGGGGAGUUUCCAGUACUCUUCCAGUCUCGGCUAAGGGAGGGAGAGUCAAGCAGAGACCUACCCGUUCCAUUCCUAGCUUGGGCAGUGGCUAGUGAGUGGAAGGCAAUCAAGUCAAAA